CUCAGUCGUGCUUAAGGUGAUAUGUUUAAUAUUGCUUUAGUGUUAUAAUACACACAAACAACAUAGACAGUUCAGUUGCAAAACAUUCAGCGAGGAAGAGGAGGGGCGGGAGAGAGAGAGGGAAAACUCCUCUCUCCGGUGUCGCUUGCUGGCUGCUCAGACUCUCCAAGGAAGCCGUGAUGGAGACACGAUGAAAUGGACGGGGUUGACUCGGAGGAGCUGGAGUGCCGGGCGUUUACAAAACGGCAAAUGUGCUUUAUGGGGUGUCAGGAAGCGUAUUUUAUUACAAAAUAGACGAGGAUGUGGAGCACGGCAUCAAUGACGUCAGUGCGCACGCGCAGGGGCGGACGGCUUUAGCUCGCCGCCUGCCAGCCAGUCGUCCUGCGAUGUAGGCGCACAAGUGGAGGAGAAGAAGGCAAACUGAGGAGCGUGGACAUGGCGACAAAGUGUCAACAGCGUGGCGUGAAGAUGAUUUCACUCAGGCGGCCAUAAAGUGCAAAUCAUGUCCGGGACAGCUGAUGCAGACGGUGCAGAGGGAGCAGUCUCCAAAGUGCAAGUCAAGAGGGAGAUCAAGACCAUUGUGGAGAAUUUGGAAACCAUCCUGGGAGACCUCAAGGAUGUGGCCAAGGAGCUCAAAGAGGUCGUCCAUGACAUUGACACGCUGACGUGCGACCUGCAGCUGGAGGAGGACGGUCUGACGGACAGCUCCAAGACGGACACGCUCAACUCCAGCUCCAGUUCUACCGCCACCACCACUACUACAGCCUCAAGCCUGGAGAAAAUGAAGUUUUUCGCCGAUGACUGCCUCUCCAAACCCGCCCCGCUGCCCACCAUCCACUGCGGGGUGCUGACCGUACACAAGAAGGCACACCCACCCUUGCCACCACCCAGACUUACCUCUGUGAGAGCCGAGGAUCACAACGGGAAGAGUCUGCCUCACCCAACGCUAGUGUUGUCAGGGAAUCCGUCCAAAGCUAACGGAUCACUAUUGAAGAAUGGUGGCGUUUUUCCCUUAAAGCCAAACCGGGACUUGUUCUCCCCUACAUCAUGUUUUAUUACCAAUGACGGCGGCAUACCGGAAUCAGGUCUGGUACCCACGCUGCCCAGACCUAUGCCUCUGCUCCACCAUGAAAAGAACAAAUGCCCCAAAGCCCCCAGCAGGGAGCCCCGUGAGAGGGUGCGUUUCAGUGAGAAGGUCCAGUACCACGGCUACUGUCCAGACUGUGACCUACAGUACGAUGUGGAUCACUCAGAGCUGCACUUGCAAGCCGAGCUUAACGACACGAGGCUCAGUCCUGUGCACUGUUGCUCAUCUUUUUCCCCUCCUCCGCUCCCCCAUGACCUGGAGAACGGUGGCCUUUUGGUCUACAACAGUUUUCCACCAAAGGCCAACACCCCUUCUCCUCCUCCUCUACCUUGCGUACCUCCUCACCCCGCUUCCCUCAAACCUCAGAAAACCAUCCUGCGUAAAUCCACCACAACCACAGUUUGACGACAAGCCCCCCCCCAUGUUCUGUGUAAUUUCCACAAACCUGAAUCAUUCGUAGUGUUUUCUACUUAGCCAGCGCCUUCUUCUCCGGUCCAAUUUUUCGGAUUAUUCAUACAGAGAGAGGCCGGAAAAUGGGAGACAAAAGGAAGCGGAGUGGGAUCACAUGGGCUCCGAGAAGUAUGCGACAGAUUUGGACAAAGCGGUCCCCUCCGAGACCCUUCAGCGACACCUGCAAGCGGGGUGCUCGUUUGGGCGGAGGCGAGGAAACCAAGCAUCAAUCUUAUUUUGGAAGGCUGGCGACCAACAGGAGAUGAAUCAAGGCUGUGAAUUUGGAGCACUUCAACAACAACAACAUUUUCAGGCUUAGUGAAAUGAGGGACAUUUCCCUGUGGGUUGUACUCAAAAUAUUGGGUUCUCAAAAAUACAGCGGCACAUUCUAAAAAUCAACAGUAAUGUCACAAGAAUAAAGUCAAAAUAUUAUGAGGAAAAAGUUGGAAUCUAACAAAAUGUCUGAGGACCAUGUUAUAAUGUAAAGAAAAAUAACGUAAUUUUAGUUGUCUAAGGUAUAUAGAAUAUAGAACAAAUAUAUAGAAAAAUACAGUAUUUUUUUAAGUUGUAAUAUUUUGUGAAGUAAACAAAACAAUUGAUAAAAUUUACAUUUUUGGAAUAUAAGGUCUUGGAAAAAGUUGUAAUCUUACAAUAAUGUGCAAAUAUAAGAAGAAAAUUAUAAUAAACAGUAGACAUUUUUAAAAAGUGCUGUAAUUUUACAAUAAUAAAGUCAAAAUAUUAAGAGUAAAAAGUUGGAAUCUAAUGAAAAGUCAUAAUUUUAUGAGGAUAAUGGUAUAAUAUGAGGAAAAUAUAGAAUAUAUAGAAAGUUUGAAAUAUUUUGCGAAACAAAGGUUGUGGAAAAAGUUACAAUCUUGUAAGAAUGAAGUCAGAAUGUAAGAAUAAAAUCAUAAUUUAUUAAAAGUUUUCAAUAAAAAAAAACAGCCGUAAGUCAAAAUAUUCAUUCAGUCAUUUACAAAAAUAGUUGCACUUUUACAGGAAUAAACUCACACUAUCGUGAUGAAAAUUUAAAAAAAUAAAAUAAAAAUAUGUAAUAUAGUAUAGUAUAUAUAUAGUAUGUAUUUAAUAGUAUGGCAAUAAAGUCCUAAUAUUAUGAAAUGAAUUUAGAAUUAUUAAAGAUGAAAGUCGAAAUAUUUGGCAAAUAAAAGCAAAAAAUGGUAAUCAACUGUUUUUUGUUAAUAUAUAACUUUUAACAUAUUUACAAAAAAUCAAAGCAGCUCCUGCGUCCUUUCAUUUUUCACGACAUGACCCUCGCUGGAAAAGGUUUUUAUAUAACAUUUUUAUAAAGCGAUAUGAAUAAGUGUCCAAUGGAGACGCAGUAAUCUGUACGAAUUAGCAGUUCCUGGAGGUCUCUGCUAAUUUCAAAUAUGAUGUCCUGCAGCAUAUGCACGUUACACUUAAAUAAGAGGAAGAUGAAUGAUGGUGGCUGCUUUGUGUCUAAACAAUAUAUCCAUCAUACAUAUCACUAGGAUGUGCCAAGCAAGCUACCGGUGUGUUUUCUUACUUUCUGCCCCGCCCCCACACAGAUAAAACAAUGCUGAUUCUGAUGGAAGUAAUAAUUUGCAUCAAAUUUUUCCGUGUAUGCAAAUCUACAUGAGCAUGUUUGAUAUCUCUAUAUUUCAAGCAUUUUUUUUCUACAGAGACUUUUAACAUUUGAAUAGAGGAUAUUUUUGAUAUCACGACUGAAGACGACUGAAACAUGUCACUGCGCCCCGCAAUCAGCGGGAGGAGAGACGCUGUGCAGACGGAGAAUGAAAGUGGAGAACAUCAAUGGCGUGAGGAAAGAAGCGCUGCAAGAAUGGCGAACCGGUUGCAGUCACACAUUUGAUAGUCGACAUCCCACCUUUCCAAGGGCAGCGAUGGGAUACGCUCGUUUCAUGUUAUUCUAUUUGGAUGCCACCUAUACCAGGAAGGAAGGGAAGCAGCAGUCACAUAUCCCGCCCAUCUAACUGGUUCCGUUAAUAGAACAUGAGCGCUCCUUGUUGGUCAUGUGACCUGGAAAAAAAUGGGAGAAAGAAGGAAGAUAGAUAAAUUAUUGUUCUAGGAUUUCUAGGAUUUAACCGAGACGAAGCAUCUUUUGUAACGGGUAACGUGUUUAAAGCUAACAUUUACGUUGUCCAUAUUGUAAUCGGGUCGCUAACGGUGCUAGCUGACAUCGCUACUGAGGUUUAUUGUGUUUUUGUGAACUCUGCCGCAGUUAAAGUGUAUAUUGUCUCGAGCCAGUCAAACUGGGGAAACGGUACACCGCGAAUAACAAAAAUUGUGUACUAGAUACUUUGCUUGUAUACUCUGUCUUUUUACUUCAACGUUUUUCCAGUCUGAGCAAAGUGCUGAUGUGCCAAAAAAAGGGUGGCGACAAAGCCUGAAUCAUUACCUGGGUGUAGGACAUAACAGCGACAUGUUAUUUUCCAUGUAACAUAAACUGUUGUUUUAGUCAUGUUUUUUUGUGAAAUAGUGUGGAGAUAUGAUAUUUGAAGGUUUGUAAACAAACGAUGAUGGACGCAGGAGACAACUUGGCAC
Non-coding RNA from Doryrhamphus excisus (bluestripe pipefish), 4075 nucleotides. NCBI's taxonomy places the organism in Eukaryota, Metazoa, Chordata, Actinopteri, Syngnathiformes, Syngnathidae. The record is from RefSeq and is a predicted model, not a curated record.